UUUUGGUUAAGUUAAUAAGGGCGCACGGUGGAUGCCUUGGCACUAGGAGUCGAUGAAGGACGGCACUAACACCGAUAUGCCUCGGGGAGCUGUAAGUAAGCUUUGAUCCGGGGAUUUCCGAAUGGGGGAACCCACUAUCUUUAAUCGGAUAGUAUCUUCACGUGAAUUCAUAGCGUGUUGAAGACAGACGCAGGGAACUGAAACAUCUAAGUACCUGCAGGAACAGAAAGAAAAUUCGAUUCCCUGAGUAGCGGCGAGCGAAACGGGAAGAGCCCAAACCAAAGAGCUUGCUCUUUGGGGUUGUAGGACACUCUAUACGGAGUUACAAAAGAAUGAAUUAGACGAAGCGACUUGGAAAGGUCCGCGAAACAAGGUAAAAGCCCUGUAGUCAAAAGUUYAUUCCCUCCAGAGUGGAUCCUGAGUACGGCGGAACACGUGAAAUUCCGUCGGAAUCCGGGAGGACCAUCUCCCAAGGCUAAAUACUACCUAGUGACCGAUAGUGAACCAGUACCGUGAGGGAAAGGUGAAAAGCACCCCGGAAGGGGAGUGAAAUAGAYCCUGAAACCGUGUGCCUACAAGUAGUUAGAGCCCGUUAAUGGGUGAUAGCGUGCCUUUUGUAGAAUGAACCGGCGAGUUACGAUUACGUGCGAGGUUAAGUUGAGAAGACGGAGCCGCAGCGAAAGCGAGUCUGAAUAGGGCGAAUUAGUACGUGGUCGUAGACCCGAAACCAGGUGAUCUACCCAUGUCCAGGGUGAAGGUGAGGUAACACUCACUGGAGGCCCGAACCCACGCACGUUGAAAAGUGCGGGGAUGAGGUGUGGGUAGCGGAGAAAUUCCAAUCGAACCUGGAGAUAGCUGGUUCUCUCCGAAAUAGCUUUAGGGCUAGCCUCGUGAUUGAGAAUACCGGAGGUAGAGCACUGUUUGGACUAGGGGGGCAUCUCGCUUUACCGAAUUCAGACAAACUCCGAAUGCCGGAUAUUUAUACACGGGAGUCAGACUGCGAGUGAUAAGAUCCGUAGUCAAGAGGGAAACAGCCCAGACCACCAGCUAAGGUCCCCAAGUAAUCGUUAAGUGGAAAAGGAUGUGGCGUUGCUUAGACAACCAGGAUGUUGGCUUAGAAGCAGCCAUCAUUUAAAGAGUGCGUAAUAGCUCACUGGUCGAGUGACGCUGCGCCGAAAAUGUAUCGGGGCUAAACGAUUCACCGAAGCUGUGGAUGCAUACUUWGAGUAUGCGUGGUAGGAGAGCGUUCUAACAGCGUUGAAGUCAGACCGGAAGGACUGGUGGAGCGGUUAGAAGUGAGAAUGCCGGUAUGAGUAGCGAAACAUGGGUGAGAAUCCCAUGCACCGUAUGACUAAGGUUUCCUGAGGAAGGCUCGUCCGCUCAGGGUUAGUCGGGACCUAAGCCGAGGCCGAUAGGCGUAGGCGAUGGACAACAGGUUGAUAUUCCUGUACCACCUCCUCACCGUUUGAGAAAUGGGGGGACGCAGUAGGAUAGGGUAAGCACGCCGUUGGUUGCGCGUGUUCAAGCAGUAAGGCGUGUAUGUAGGCAAAUCCGCAUACUWUAACGUUGAGCUGUGAUGACGAGCUCGUAUGAGCGAAGUUCCUGAUUUCACACUGCCAAGAAAAGCCUCUAUCGAGGUGAGAGGUGCCCGUACCGCAAACCGACACAGGUAGUCGAGGAGAGAAUCCUAAGGUGUGCGAGAGAACUCUCGUUAAGGAACUCGGCAAAAUGACCCCGUAACUUCGGGAGAAGGGGUGCUUCUUUGGGUGCAUAGCCUAGAGAAGCCGCAGUGAAUAGGCCCAGGCGACUGUUUAGCAAAAACACAGGUCUCUGCAAAACCGUAAGGUGACGUAUAGGGGCNUAACGUUGAGCUGUGAUGACGAGCUCGUAUGAGCGAAGUUCCUGAUUUCACACUGCCAAGAAAAGCCUCUAUCGAGGUGAGAGGUGCCCGUACCGCAAACCGACACAGGUAGUCGAGGAGAGAAUCCUAAGGUGUGCGAGAGAACUCUCGUUAAGGAACUCGGCAAAAUGACCCCGUAACUUCGGGAGAAGGGGUGCUUCUUUGGGUGCAUAGCCUAGAGAAGCCGCAGUGAAUAGGCCCAGGCGACUGUUUAGCAAAAACACAGGUCUCUGCAAAACCGUAAGGUGACGUAUAGGGGCUGACGCCUGCCCGGUGCUGGAAGGUUAAGAGGAGCGGUUAGCGCAAGCGAAGCUGUGAAUUGAAGCCCCAGUAAACGGCGGCCGUAACUAUAACGGUCCUAAGGUAGCGAAAUUCCUUGUCGGGUAAGUUCCGACCCGCACGAAAGGCGUAACGAUCUGGGCACUGUCUCAACGAGAGACUCGGUGAAAUUAUAGUACCUGUGAAGAUGCAGGUUACCCGCGACAGGACGGAAAGACCCCGUGGAGCUUUACUGUAGCCUGAUAUUGAAUUUUGGUACAACUUGUACAGGAUAGGUAGGAGCCAGAGAUCUCGGAGCGCCAGCUUCGAAGGAGGCGUCGGUGGGAUACUACCCU
RNAcentral lists this ribosomal RNA (2514 nucleotides) under Solibacillus silvestris. RNAcentral's name for it is "bacterial LSU rRNA". It matches the Rfam family "Bacterial large subunit ribosomal RNA", at positions 1 to 2206 of the family's 2925-position model. Lineage: Bacteria; Bacillati; Bacillota; Bacilli; Caryophanales; Caryophanaceae. The record is from RNAcentral.